RNAcentral lists this ribosomal RNA (402 nucleotides) under uncultured bacterium. RNAcentral describes it as "bacterial SSU rRNA". It matches the Rfam family "Bacterial small subunit ribosomal RNA", at positions 355 to 774 of the family's 1533-position model. The record is from RNAcentral.
UGGGGAAUAUUGCACAAUGGGGGAAACCCUGAUGCAGCAACGCCGCGUGAGUGACGAAGGCCUUCGGGUCGUAAAGCUCUGUCUUCGGGGACGAUAAUGGCGGUACCCGAGGAGGAAGCCACGGCUAACUACGUGCCAGCAGCCGCGGUAAUACGUAGGUGGCGAGCGUUGUCCGGAAUUACUGGGCGUAAAGGGUGCGUAGGCGGGAUAAAAAGUCAGUGGUGAAAUCCUACAGCUUAACUGUAGAACUGCCUUUGAUACUUUUAUUCUUGAGUUCGGGAGAGAGAGACGGAAUUCCAGGUGUAGUGGUGAAAUACGUAGAUAUCUGGAACAACACCAGUUGCGAAGGCGGUCUCUUGGUCCGACACUGACGCUGAGGCGCGAAAGCGUGGGGAGCAAACA